GACGAACGCUGGCGGCGUGCUUAACACAUGCAAGUCGAACGGAAAGGCCCUGCUUUUGUGGGGUGCUCGAGUGGCGAACGGGUGAGUAACACGUGAGUAACCUGCCCUUGACUUUGGGAUAACUUCAGGAAACUGGGGCUAAUACCGGAUAGGAGCUCCUGCUGCAUGGUGGGGGUUGGAAAGUCUCGGCGGUUGGGGAUGGACUCGCGGCUUAUCAGCUUGUUGGUGGGGUAGUGGCUUACCAAGGCUUUGACGGGUAGCCGGCCUGAGAGGGUGACCGGCCACAUUGGGACUGAGAUACGGCCCAGACUCCUACGGGAGGCAGCAGUGGGGAAUAUUGUACAAUGGGCGGAAGCCUGAUGCAGCAACGCCGCGUGCAGGAUGACGGCCUUCGGGUUGUAAACCGCUUUCGCCUGUGACGAAGCGUGAGUGACGGUAAUGGGUAAAGAAGCACCGGCUAACUACGUG
RNAcentral lists this ribosomal RNA (468 nucleotides) under uncultured bacterium. RNAcentral's name for it is "partial 16S ribosomal RNA". It matches the Rfam family "Bacterial small subunit ribosomal RNA", at positions 28 to 507 of the family's 1533-position model. The record is from RNAcentral.